CAGUAGCCGCGGUAAUACGUAGGGUGCAAGCGUUAAUCGGAAUUACUGGGCGUAAAGCGUGCGCAGGCGGUUAUAUAAGACAGAUGUGAAAUCCCCGGGCUCAACCUGGGAACUGCAUUUGUGACUGUAUAGCUAGAGUACGGCAGAGGGGGAUGGAAUUCCGCGUGUAGCAGUGAAAUGCGUAGAUAUGCGGAGGAACACCGAUGGCGAAGGCAAUCCCCUGGGCCUGUACUGACGCUCAUGCACGAAAGCGUGGGGAGCAAACAGGAUUAGACACCCCCGUAGUCCCUGUCUCUUAUAA
Molecule: ribosomal RNA, 301 nt
Filed under: uncultured bacterium
Lineage: Bacteria
Description: partial 16S ribosomal RNA
Rfam family: Bacterial small subunit ribosomal RNA
Source: RNAcentral